ACUUGUCCCCCUGCUCCUUUAUCAUUGACAUUUUUAUGACAGUCAUAUUAACUGACAAAGAUUCCGCAUUUUGACUGCUGGUAAUGUCACUUCUCUGGAAAUUGCCAGGUCACAGGCAAGACCAGCUCAGAAGAGCAGAGUCUGAGAUAAGAGGCAUUUGAAAUAUUUAUUCUUUGGCUUACAUGUUCCUUUUAGGAAGAGUUUUUCUCCAUAACAGACAAAUGAGGCUGGUAGAUUUGGCAGAAAGGGAAGGUUUUCUAUGUUCUUUGUUUAAGAGAGUGAAUCAUGAUUCCUUCCUCGUUUCAAACAUGUACAUGAGGCCCGUCAUUGAAUAAACAGCAACAGGAUCUACUCUUUUGAACUUAAUAGUGACUCAGUAGUGUGCAGAGGUAUAAAUCUUAAUGUUUACAUUCUUCCUGUGCAUCUAGUCUCUGGUCUAGGAUGUAAUUUGUUUGACGUAUUGCUGCCAUUAUGCGUCUGAGUCCCUCAGAGGCACGGGGUAGGGGAAGAAGGUUUUCCCCAGUGAGUUCAGUACAGACGUGACCACAGGAGGGUGCGCCUGAGCUGCCGCAGACCAGGCGGAGGGUCCAUGGUAGAGCAUCUGCAUGAGUAGGUCUGGCAGAAGCACAGUCGUCUCCUUAUUGGCUGGUGGACACGUGGGAAACCACUCUGACUGAUGCAGGAAAGAAGGGCGAGCCGGUGCUAGAAGUAGCUGUGCUGGCUGGAGGUGACAAUUCUGAAAGUGAUCAUAAUUGUAAUUGGGAGGAACCAUGAGGACAUCCGAGGGGGCUUUCAUCACGCUCUUGUGGCUGCCGCUGCACUGGCUCAGCAGAGGAGAGAAUGUGGAGCAGAGUCCUUCCACCCUGAGUGUCCAGGAGGGAAACAGCUGUGUUAUCACCUGUAGUUACUCAGACAGUGCCUCAGUCUACUUCCCUUGGUAUAAGCAAGAACUUGGAAAAGGUCCCCAGCUCAUUAUAGACAUUCGUUCAAGUGUGGCCAAAAAAGAAGACCAAAGACUCACUGUUUUACUGAAUAAGACGGCCAAGCAUCUGUCCCUGCACAUCGCAGCCGCCCAGCCUGCAGACUCAGCUGUCUACUUCUGUGCAGCAAGUGCACAUUGCGUCCCAGACACCUGCUGCCUGCACCCAAACCUGUGACUGAGCAACCCCUGUCCUUUGACACAGAACUUCAAGUAGAUAGUUUGUGCUAUUGUUUGUCUGCAGGCGGAAGCUAAUGUGUUAGACAUUAAAGCAUAACUGAAGACAACUGGGAUCGAGAUGACCCAGACAGGGUUAGAACAUUUUGUUGAAUCAUUGCUGCCUAUUGGAUUUUUGAAGGGAGUUAGUAAGGUUUUAUUUUGCAAUUCAGGUUUAAAGCUGAUUUACAUUUGCUGUUCAGACUCCUGUCAUACAAACAACUUCUUGGUAAAUUGUCACAUUCCUGUCAUGCAUUAGCUUUCAACUCUUAUCUUUCCAGUACUGCAGAUGUUGCUUUUGUUCUGUUAUAAAACAUUGUGUGCUAAAUAUAGAAAAUAUGUAAAAAGCCAAGUGUGAAAUUGAUAAUUGUGUACCCAGCUAAUUUAUUAUCAAUGUUUCAUUUACUCUCUUCUUAAAUUCUAAUGUAACUUGGAUUCAGAUUUUUUCCAUUCGAUGUUAUAUCCUAAAUUGAGCAUUCUCCUCUAACACCUGAUUUUUAAUAGCUCCGUGAGAGAUUUUCACAAGUCACAGUAAUAUUUUUAAUUUUUUUCCUCUUCUGUCUUCCUGGCAAUAUGUGGCAGUCCUUUCUGUGUGUUCUGAAUAUUUUCUUCUUGAGAAAAUGUGAGUUAGGAUUUUCGUGUGAGCCCAGUGAUGGUAUGUAUGUUAUGUAUAUUUGAGGAAAAUUAAAAGCAGAAGUGAUUUGUCAAGAAUUUGAAUUGAGAAUUAAGACUCUUUUCAAAACUUUGUUAGUAUUUUUUCACAUCUACAAUCAUAUAAUUUAGAAGGGAAAGUUGUAUCUUUCAAUCAUUAUUACAUAGCACAAACUUUUUUUACAUAGUUGAUCAUCAAUAGAUGUUUAUUAAUGGAAGAAGGAAAAGGUGAAUUCUGCUAUAUAUUUAGAAUUUUUAUUUAAGCUUGUGAGUAAAUUAAAUUUAUAAGUUGACUUGUGAAAAAUAAACUCCUAGAAGUCUGUAUUUGGU
Non-coding RNA from Prionailurus viverrinus (fishing cat), 2176 nucleotides. The record is from the annotation of a RefSeq genome assembly. NCBI's taxonomy places the organism in Eukaryota, Metazoa, Chordata, Mammalia, Carnivora, Felidae.